Molecule: ribosomal RNA, 149 nt
Filed under: Gammaproteobacteria bacterium
Lineage: Bacteria; Pseudomonadati; Pseudomonadota; Gammaproteobacteria
Description: partial 23S ribosomal RNA
Rfam family: Bacterial large subunit ribosomal RNA
Source: RNAcentral
CCCUCCCAAGAUUAGGUCUCCCUGAUUAUUUAAUAAUCCUAAAGAUCCCUCGAAGACUACGAGGUUGAUAGGCUAGGUGUGAAAGUGCAGCAAUGUAUUGAGCUAACUAGUACUAAUUGAUCGUGAGGCUUGACCAUAUAAAACCCAAG